UUGAAAGGGAAACGAUUGAAGUCAGUCAUGCUGGUGGGAAUCAACUUAGAGGAAACUCUGGGUGCACUUCUUCGUUUGGCAGGUUAGUGUCGAUUUUGGAUGUCAUAAAAUAAUUGGGGGAAGGUAGCUCCUUCGGGAGUGUUAUAGCCCUUGAUAGAUGUGAUGUUUGGGGUCGAGGAUUGCAACGGAUACCCUCUGGGGCUAGCCGCCUGAUCUCUAAUCGGUGUUGGGUUACGGAUAGCAUGCUGACCGUUUUCUAAUUACUGGUUAAAAGGUUAGAGCGUGCAUAAAUUCGUUAAGGAUGUUGACGUA
RNAcentral lists this ribosomal RNA (312 nucleotides) under uncultured Glomeromycotina. Its description in RNAcentral is "LSU rRNA". The record is from RNAcentral. Lineage: Eukaryota; Fungi; Glomeromycota.